This 596-nucleotide long non-coding RNA is filed under the name Gallus gallus (chicken). The record is from RNAcentral. Lineage: Eukaryota; Metazoa; Chordata; Aves; Galliformes; Phasianidae.
AUAAGUUUCCUCUGGGGAACAGAUGGUGAUGUUUCAACAGGUACCAGGGAUUCCCGGCUUUCUGAUGGUAAAUGACUCAGUGUGUUUGCUCGCCUUCGAAAGCUUUGUUGAGGUAAUGUAACAGAAUGAUCAAUAGCAUAACUAUCUGGGUCACUGGAAAGAUCACCCAUUGAUCCACUGCUCUUGACAGCAUUCUCUGGAGGAAGUGUAGGAACUCUGUCUGUCUCCCUUUCAGACAGUGGUUGCUCUUUAUUUGUGCUGCUUAAGUUACUGGACACAGAGGCCUCCAGGUCCACAGAUCCACUAGAACUGUCCAGAGGACCUCUGGCUUUACUGCCACGUGAUAAAAUACUUUCAAACGAUUCCGUCAGAGAUCUUUUUGCCUUGUUCUUUAACAUAUCUAAUCUGAAUCUUGGAGCACUGCUGGGCACUUCAUUUACAGCAUUCUCAGCAGACGGUUGUGAAGUUUGUUUUGCUUCCCCAAUGUGAACAUGGUUCUUCUGUUUUUCUUCAUACAUGUUUCUCAAAAUAGAGAUAAUCAGCUCAUUCUCUUUUUGAUCAUUUCUUGGUCUCAAUUUCUUAACCUCUUCAAAAAC